UGGUUAAUAUUCCAGCACCUUCUAUGCUUAAGGCAUGAUAAGACGCGGCAAUAAAGGGAGCAGACCUUAUUGACUUGGCAGGAAGGGCUUCGGCCAGACCGUGCUCCUAAUUGCGCCGCCUAGAAAACCUUCAUGUUGUUCCCAUAAGAGCCCGUACCGCAAACCGACACAGGUGGGUGGGUAGAAUAUACCAAGGCGUAAGAGUGAACCCUCGUUAAGGAACUCUGCAAUCUAGUCCCGUAACUUCGGAAGAUGGGAUGCCCAUCGCAAGAUGGGCCGCAGUGAAAGGGGUCAGCCGACUGUUUAUCAAAAACACAGCAUUGUGCUAAGACGAAAGUCCAAGUAUACGAUGUGACACGUGACCAAUGCGGAAAGAUUAAGGCAAGGGGUUAGCCGCAAGGCGAAGCUCUGAACCCAAGUCCCCGUGAAUGUCGGCCGUAACUAUAACGGUCCUAAGGUAGCGAAAUUCCUUGUCGGGUAAGUUCCGACCUGCACGAAUCGUGUAACGAGUUGACCGCUGUCUCAACGAGGCGCUCAGUGAAUUUGUAGUGGCGGUGUAGAUGCCGCCUACCCGCGGAAGGACGGAAAGACCCUAUGCACCUUAACUGUAAGCUGUCACUGAUUCGCUGAUUUCAAUGCUCAGAGUAAGUGGGAGGCUUUGAAGCUUGGCUUUCGGGCCAGGCAGAGCCAAAAGUGAGACACCACCCUUUGGUAUUGGCGAAUCUAAUCGUGUUUCUCUAACAGAUCACGAGACCAUGUCAGCCGGUCAGUUUUACUGGGGCGGUAUCCUCCCAAAGAGUAACGGAGGAGCGCGAAGGUUGGCUCAGCGCGGUUGGUAAUCGCGUGUUGAGUGCAUUGGCAUAAGCCAGCCUAACUGUGAGACCUACAAGUCGAGCAGAUACGAAAGUAGGCCAAAGUGAUCCGGCGGUUUAAUGUGGAAUUGCCGUCGCUUAACGGACAAAAGGUACGCUAGGGAUAACAGGCUGAUUUGACCCAAGAGUUCAUAUCGACGGUCAAGUUUGGCACCUCGAUGUCGGCUCGUCGCAUCCUGGGGCUGGAGAAGGUCCCAAGGGUCCGGCUGUUCGCCGGUUAAAGCGGCACGCGAGCUGGGUUCAGAACGUCGCGAGACAGUUCGGUCCUCUAUCCUCCGUGGGCGUUGGAGAAUUGAGGGGUUUACUUCCUAGUACGAGAGGACCGGAAGUAACGCACCUCUGGUGUUCCAGUUGUCACGUCAGUGGCACCGCUGGGCAGCUACGUGCGGAAGGGAUAAGCGCUGAAAGCAUCUAAGUGCCAAGCCCAUCCCAAGAUGAGUUCUCCCUGAAGGAUCGUGGAAGACUACCACGUUGAUAGGGUGCGGGUGUAAGCAGAGUAAUCUGUUCAGCUUAGCACUACUAAUCAUCC
RNAcentral lists this ribosomal RNA (1401 nucleotides) under metagenome. RNAcentral describes it as "bacterial LSU rRNA". It matches the Rfam family "Bacterial large subunit ribosomal RNA", at positions 1427 to 2910 of the family's 2925-position model. The record is from RNAcentral.